RNAcentral lists this ribosomal RNA (385 nucleotides) under uncultured bacterium. RNAcentral describes it as "bacterial SSU rRNA". It matches the Rfam family "Bacterial small subunit ribosomal RNA", at positions 28 to 414 of the family's 1533-position model. The record is from RNAcentral.
GAUGAACGCUAGCGGCAGGCCUAAUACAUGCAAGUCGAACGGUAAGGCCCUUUCGGGGGUACACGAGUGGCGGACGGGUGCGUAACGCGUAUGCAACAUGCCUUCCAGCGGGGGAUAUACCAGGGAAACUUGGCGCAAUACCCCAUAGAAUUACGGGACCGCAUGGUCUUGUGAUUAAAACUCCGGUGCUGGGAGAUUGGCAUGCGUGACAUUAGCUAGUUGGCGGGGUAAAGGCUCACCAAGGCGACGAUCUGUAGCGGGUCUGAGAGGAUGAUCCGCCACACUGGGACUGAGACACGGCCCAGACUCCUACGGGAGGCAGCAGUGGGGAAUUUUGGACAAUGGGGGCAACCCUGAUCCAGCCAUGCCGCGUGAGUGAAGAAGG